GGCCCCGUAGCUCAGUGGAUAGAGCGGCAGACUUCGAAUCUGCGCGCGGUGGUUCGACUCCACCCGGGGCCA
RNAcentral lists this transfer RNA (72 nucleotides) under Gaiellaceae bacterium. RNAcentral describes it as "tRNA-Arg". It matches the Rfam family "tRNA". From Rfam's summary of the family: Transfer RNA (tRNA) molecules are approximately 80 nucleotides in length. RNAcentral also lists the same sequence under 3 other names. Lineage: Bacteria; Bacillati; Actinomycetota; Thermoleophilia; Gaiellales; Gaiellaceae. The record is from RNAcentral.